Long non-coding RNA from Brassica napus (rape), 614 nucleotides. RefSeq lists it as uncharacterized. NCBI's taxonomy places the organism in Eukaryota, Viridiplantae, Streptophyta, Magnoliopsida, Brassicales, Brassicaceae. The record is from RefSeq and is a predicted model, not a curated record. The transcript has 4 exons.
CACAGGAAAUUUUCUAUUUUUUUCUCUUUUCUCUCUUUUCUUUUCUCUCUGUUCUUUCUUUCUCGACUUCUCUUUUGGCGAUUGAAACCGUCCUCACGGCAUCUCCUCCGGCUUCUCUGGUCUCCUCCGGCUUCUCUGAUCUCUUCACGGCGUCUCUUUUUCUCCAUUGAGAAUCACAGAAGAGAUUGAGAUGUCAACACCAGCAAGGAAGAGACUUGUGAGGGAUUCCAGGAGGUUGCUGCAAGAUCCUCCUGCUGGUAUCAGUGGUGCUCCUCUAACAACAACAUCUUGCUCUGGAACGCUGUCAUCUUCGGUCCAGAUGAUACGCCUAGGGAUGGAGUUGAACAGAACUUACAGAACCAAUGGAGUCCCAUCUAUGUAUCUCUUUCUUUGUCGACAAAGCCGUUGCUAUCAUGUUGGAUAUGAAGGUUGAUAUCAUAUAAGAUGUUCAACAGAAGUCAAAAGGCGUUCAUUCAAAUCAAAAGAAGUCACGAGAUUUGUUGUAUAUAUUUGUUGUAUAUGCAAUUCACGAGUAUUGUCUGUAUGUUAGAUACAUGUUGGUUUUGGUUCUUCUCUCCUUCUCUAUAUAAAGUUGUGAUUCACCAAGCAUUUUA